CAAUAGCGUAUAUUAAAGUUGUUGCGGUUAAAAAGCUCGUAGUUGGAUUUCUGCCGAGGACGACCGGUCCGCCCUCUGGGUGUGUAUCUGGUUUGGCCUGGGCAUCUUCUUGGAGAACGUAGCUGCACUUGACUGUGUGGUGCGGUGUCCAGGACUUUUACUUUGAGGAAAUUAGAGUGUUUCAAGCAGGCACACGCCUUGAAUACAUUAGCAUGGAAUAAUAAGAUAGGACCUCGGUUCUAUUUUGUUGGUUUCUAGAGCUGAGGUAAUGAUUAAUAGGGAUAGUUGGGGGCAUUCGUAUUUAACUGUCAGAGGUGAAAUUCUUGGAUUUAUGAAAGACGAACUAGUGCGAAAGCAUUUGCCAAGGAUGUUUUCAUUAA
This 380-nucleotide ribosomal RNA is filed under the name uncultured eukaryote. RNAcentral's name for it is "partial 18S ribosomal RNA". It matches the Rfam family "Eukaryotic small subunit ribosomal RNA", at positions 592 to 976 of the family's 1831-position model. The record is from RNAcentral.